AGAGUUUGAUCCUGGCUCAGGACGAACGCUGGCGGCGUGCUUAACACAUGCAAGUGGAGCGACGAACCGGGGCUUGCCCCGGGGCAGAGCCGCGAACGGGUGAGUAACACGUGGGUAACCUACCCCGAUGACCGGGACAACCCGAGGAAACUCGGGCUAAUACCGGAUGUUCUCUGUUCUCCUAAGUGGACAGAGCAAAGAUAGCUUCGGCCUUCGCAUCGGGACGGGCCCGCGGCCCAUUAGCUUGUUGGUGGGGUAACGGCCUACCAAGGCUGCGAUGGGUAGCUGGUCUGAGAGGACGAUCAGCCACACUGGGACUGAGACACGGCCCAGACUCCUACGGGAGGCAGCAGUGGGGAAUCUUGCGCAAUGCGCGAAAGCGUGACGCAGCAGCGCCGCGUGGGGGAAGAAGGCCUUCGGGUUGUAAACCCCUUUCAGUUGGGACGAAGCUUCGUCGGUUAAUAGCCGGCUGGAGUGACGGUACCUUCAGAAGAAGCCCGGCUAACUACGUGCCAGCAGCCGCGGUA
This 527-nucleotide ribosomal RNA is filed under the name uncultured Actinomycetes bacterium. RNAcentral describes it as "bacterial SSU rRNA". It matches the Rfam family "Bacterial small subunit ribosomal RNA", at positions 8 to 522 of the family's 1533-position model. The record is from RNAcentral. Lineage: Bacteria; Bacillati; Actinomycetota; Actinomycetes.